AUCCUUUUUUGGUUCAUAAGUCUGAAGAUUGGGUAUUCACGUGAUUGCAUGACAUGCCCCACCUGCAAACCUUGUUAGGCAUCGGCACAUUACCCAUAUGAUA
Small nucleolar RNA from Nannospalax galili (Upper Galilee mountains blind mole rat), 103 nucleotides. RefSeq annotates it as small nucleolar RNA U13. NCBI's taxonomy places the organism in Eukaryota, Metazoa, Chordata, Mammalia, Rodentia, Spalacidae. The record is from RefSeq and is a predicted model, not a curated record. The transcript has a single exon.